This 254-nucleotide ribosomal RNA is filed under the name uncultured bacterium. Its description in RNAcentral is "partial 16S ribosomal RNA". It matches the Rfam family "Bacterial small subunit ribosomal RNA", at positions 524 to 776 of the family's 1533-position model. The record is from RNAcentral.
CACGUAGGCACCAAGCGUUGUUCGGAUUUACUGGGCGUAAAGGGCGCGUAGGCGGCCACCGCAAGUCGACUGUGAAAUCUCCGGGCUUAACUCGGAAAGGUCAGCCGAUACUGCGGGGCUAGAGUGCAGAAGGGGCAACUGGAAUUCCUGGUGUAGCGGUGGAAUGCGCAGAUAUCGGGAGGAACACCGGUGGCGAAGGCGGGAUCCUGGGCCAGUACUGACACUGAGGAGCGAAAGCCAGGGGAGCAAACGGG